CACUACCCCACCCUGAACACCUGAACACACCCCACCCUUACACACUACACCCCACCUGACCACCCUAGCCCCACCCUAACACUCUGCCCCCCACCCUAAAAAAACCUGAAAACCUGAACACCCUACCCUAACACCCUACCAUGACCUGAACACCUGUACCCCCCCCCCCCUCCCCCUAAGCACCUGGACACAUGAAGGACUCCUUGUUUUGUUGUUUGACAGCAGAGGGGGAUGAUGCAGGCUGUGGAGCUGUGGUGAAGGAACUCCACCGAGCAGACCUUUGUCUCACAUCGAAACUGUGAUGGCGAUAACAGGAGUGACUCCUCCAAACACUUCUAGAUCCUUCUGCCCCCGGAGAACCUCUAGAUCCUGGUAACCCCAGAGAACCUCUAUCUCCUGGUGCCCCCAGAGAACCUCUAGAUCCUUCUGCCCCCGGAGAACAUCUAGAUCCUGGUGCCCCCAGAGAACCUCUAGAUCCUGGUGCCCCCAGAGAACCUUUAGAUCCUGGUGCCCCCAGAGAACCUCUAGAUCCUUCUGCCCCCGGAGAACAUCUAGAUCCUGGUGCCCCCAGAGAACCUCUAGAUCCUUCUGCCCCCGGAGAACAUCUAGAUCAGGGGUCUCAAACUCAACUUACCUGGGGGCCGCUGGAGGUAGAGUCUGGGUCGGGCUGGGCCACAUCAAGUAUUCCACAAAAAAAAGGAGCACAACUGACCCAAUCUAAGUUAAUGAUCGUGCUAUAUUUAGAUCACGUUGGCUAUUUAAUCGCUGACAACAGGAGACAUUUCAUAGUGGUUGGUGGAAAACCGAGAAAUGUUAGCGUCCUUUGGCUUUUAUCGGGACUCAGGACACACAACUCAAAAUUGGGACUGUCCCGGCAAAACCGGGACAUCUGGUCACCCUAUCACAAGUGAUAAAAAAGCGUGGCAAGUGACUCUGCAAAAAUGUGCGUUUGACAACAACGCGCGGGCCGCACUAACACUAAACUUUGAUGUCAAGUAGGGGGCCACAAAAUAACUUCCCGCCGGCCUUAAUUGGCCCCCGGGCCGCGAGUUUGAGACCUCUGAUCUAGAUCCUUCUGCUCCCAGAGAACAUCUAGAUCCUACUACCCUCAGAGGUGUCCAUCACCUUCCGUUAUGUGAUGAUCAUGAUUGAUCACUUCUUUAAUUAUACCCUUAACACUAACACUGACAACAGUAGACGUCUUAAUUCAUCCUGACAUCAUGAAAUCGUUAACCCCUGACCAAGGUCAAGCAAGGUCGCAGCGUCAGGCUUUGGUCAGAAACUCAAACUGUAUUUUUUAUGUGUAGAUUUUCAUACUUUCAAGGUCCGAUGAUUUUUAACGCUGGGAAUGAAACCAGUGGACUUUGGGAAUCGAUUGAAAUAUUUUUCACCGCAAUAAAGUAUUUUCCUGUCUUUUA
This is a long non-coding RNA of Gadus morhua (Atlantic cod), 1418 nucleotides long. RefSeq lists it as uncharacterized. The transcript has 2 exons. NCBI's taxonomy places the organism in Eukaryota, Metazoa, Chordata, Actinopteri, Gadiformes, Gadidae. The record is from RefSeq and is a predicted model, not a curated record.